CCUCUACACUCUCUGAGCCAAGCAUCCCCAGGCUCUGCGGGGAUGACGGCUGCCUCCUGGGGCUGAGGUAACUGCCAGCUGCCGGCCACGUACCUGACCCAGGGACUGUCCAGCAGGCCUUGGCCCAUGGCCCCCUAGCUCUCUGCAACUAUCUUGUUUCCUCUGCGUCUCCCGCCCUGGAUGGUGAAACUGAAACGUACUGUCAGAUGACCUCACAGCAAGAAGAAGCAAGCAGCCUGAUUCAUGAGACAUGAAGCUGUCCAGUCAUGUGCGACUCUUUGCCAUCCCAUGGACUAUAGCUUCCAGGCAAGAGGACUGGAGUGGGUUGCCAUUUCCUUCUCCAGCAGAUCUUCCUGACCCAGGGAUUGAACGUGGGUCUCCCGCAUUGCAUGCUUUACCCCCUGAGCCACGAGGGAAGCCCCAAUGUAUGCGUUUUAUACUGUUUGCAGUUUUACAGUGAAUAUGCAGCAGAUCAAUGCUGGUGUUUUUAUCUGGAGCAAACAAGUUGGCCACGGACUUGUGGCUUGAAGAAUCAGUGGCAAUUCCCAGUAAUAAAGGAGGAGUGAACUGCGGGGAAAGAUGGCAGUUUAACCUGGCGCAUGGGAGGCUUCUGUGGAGCCCACCCUUAGGAGAAAGAAACUGAGGCGAGUCUACGGCCGUACCACCCUGAAAGCGCCCGAUCUUGUCUGAUGGAAGCUAAGCAGGGUCGGGCCUGGUUAGUACUUGGAUGGGAGAAACUGAGGCAAAAGAGAGUCAAGGUGGGGGCCAAGUGGCAGGGCUGAGGAAGGGGACACACUACAACCCACAGUCAAG
Long non-coding RNA from Dama dama (fallow deer), 813 nucleotides. RefSeq lists it as uncharacterized. The transcript is spliced from 3 exons. Lineage: Eukaryota; Metazoa; Chordata; Mammalia; Artiodactyla; Cervidae. The record is from RefSeq and is a predicted model, not a curated record.